This is a long non-coding RNA of Chelonia mydas (Green sea turtle), 227 nucleotides long. RefSeq lists it as uncharacterized. The transcript has 3 exons. The record is from RefSeq and is a predicted model, not a curated record. Lineage: Eukaryota; Metazoa; Chordata; Testudines; Cheloniidae.
GAUUUGUUGUGUGGAGCAAUGUUUCUGCUUAGGCAUUCUAUAUGCUACUAGUUUGUAGAGAGAGCUCUUUAGUACAGCCCUAGAGAUAGAAGAAUCAGCAAUGUUCCAUUUUUAAAGUAUUACUGAAGUAUUGAAAGAGUGGUAAUCAUUUUAGAAGAGGAAUACAUUUUUGUCAGAAAGUAGCCCAUUUCUACCUAUGUGGCAUGAUGCUGUGUACAAAGCACUAC